CGGAGGCGCGGCGCAGCGGGCACGUGGGUGUCGGUUUUGAUGGAAGCAAGCACGGACAUUCAUUAGUUGAGGAGCUGUUAAUGGAAUUGAACAUCAUCCUCCGUUCCAGCCUUUAUGUUUGAUGGAAUGUGUAUGUUUCUGGCUUGCUGUCUGAGAAUUCUUAAAUCUGAUUGGUUGUCCUGCCUGCUUGGUGAUGAUAUUGUCCCCAGAUGCCAGUUUCUCUGAGGAUUGCAAUUCCAUUGCCACUGAGCAUUGAGCAAUAUUUCGCUCUAAUCGUUACAACCUUACCUUCCUGCAUCAUCUACAGCUGAGUUGAACAGACACAUUAACUUUGAAGAUCGAUCUCCAUUCUAU
Pristis pectinata (smalltooth sawfish) is the source of this 354-nucleotide long non-coding RNA. RefSeq lists it as uncharacterized. The transcript has 3 exons. The record is from RefSeq and is a predicted model, not a curated record. NCBI's taxonomy places the organism in Eukaryota, Metazoa, Chordata, Chondrichthyes, Rhinopristiformes, Pristidae.